This 762-nucleotide ribosomal RNA is filed under the name uncultured fungus. Its description in RNAcentral is "eukaryotic LSU rRNA". It matches the Rfam family "Eukaryotic large subunit ribosomal RNA", at positions 30 to 821 of the family's 3401-position model. Lineage: Eukaryota; Fungi. The record is from RNAcentral.
GAACUUAAGCAUAUCAAUAAGCGGAGGAAAAGAAACCAACAGGGAUUGCCUCAGUAACGGCGAGUGAAGCGGCAACAGCUCAAAUUUGAAAUCUGGCCGCAAGGUCCGAGUUGUAAUUUGUAGGGGAUGCUUUUGGCGAGGUGCCUUCCGAGUUCCCUGGAACGGGACGCCAUAGAGGGUGAGAGCCCCGUACGGUAGGACCACCAAGCCUCUGUAAAGCUCCUUCGACGAGUCGAGUAGUUUGGGAAUGCUGCUCUAAAUGGGAGGUGUACGUCUUCUAAAGCUAAAUACCGGCCAGAGACCGAUAGCGCACAAGUAGAGUGAUCGAAAGAUGAAAAGCACUUUGAAAAGAGGGUUAAAAAGUACGUGAAAUUGUUGAAAGGGAAGCAUUCAUGACCAGACUUGGGCUUGGUUGAACAUCCGGCGUUCUCGCCGGUGCACUCUGCCAGUCCAGGCCAGCAUCAGUUUGCCCCGGGGGAUAAAGGCGGCGGGAAUGUGGCUCCCUUCGGGGAGUGUUAUAGCCCGUCGUGUAAUGCCCUGGGGCGGACUGAGGAACGCGCUUCGGCACGGAUGCUGGCGUAAUGGUCAUCAAUGACCCGUCUUGAAACACGGACCAAGGAGUCGUCUUCGUAUGCGAGUGUUCGGGUGUCAAACCCCUACGCGUAAUGAAAGUGAACGUAGGUGAGAGCUUCGGCGCAUCACCGACCGAUCCUGAUGUUCUCGGAUGGAUUUGAGUAAGAGCAUACGGGGCCGGACCCGAAA